RNAcentral lists this ribosomal RNA (1835 nucleotides) under Escherichia coli. Its description in RNAcentral is "partial 23S ribosomal RNA". It matches the Rfam family "Bacterial large subunit ribosomal RNA", at positions 1093 to 2906 of the family's 2925-position model. Lineage: Bacteria; Pseudomonadati; Pseudomonadota; Gammaproteobacteria; Enterobacterales; Enterobacteriaceae. The record is from RNAcentral.
CCAGGAUGUUGGCUUAGAAGCAGCCAUCAUUUAAAGAAAGCGUAAUAGCUCACUGGUCGAGUCGGCCUGCGCGGAAGAUGUAACGGGGCUAAACCAUGCACCGAAGCUGCGGCAGCGACACUAUGUGUUGUUGGGUAGGGGAGCGUUCUGUAAGCCUGUGAAGGUGGCCUGUGAGGGUUGCUGGAGGUAUCAGAAGUGCGAAUGCUGACAUAAGUAACGAUAAAGCGGGUGAAAAGCCCGCUCGCCGGAAGACCAAGGGUUCCUGUCCAACGUUAAUCGGGGCAGGGUGAGUCGACCCCUAAGGCGAGGCCGAAAGGCGUAGUCGAUGGGAAACAGGUUAAUAUUCCUGUACUUGGUGUUACUGCGAAGGGGGGACGGAGAAGGCUAUGUUGGCCGGGCGACGGUUGUCCCGGUUUAAGCGUGUAGGCUGGUUUUCCAGGCAAAUCCGGAAAACCAAGGCUGAGGCGUGAUGACGAGGCACUACGGUGCUGAAGCGACAAAUGCCCUGCUUCCAGGAAAAGCCUCUAAGCAUCAGGUAACAUCAAAUCGUACCCCAAACCGACACAGGUGGUCAGGUAGAGAAUACCAAGGCGCUUGAGAGAACUCGGGUGAAGGAACUAGGCAAAAUGGUGCCGUAACUUCGGGAGAAGGCACGCUGAUAUGUAGGUGAAGCGACUUGCUCGUGGAGCUGAAAUCAGUCGAAGAUACCAGCUGGCUGCAACUGUUUAUUAAAAACACAGCACUGUGCAAACACGAAAGUGGACGUAUACGGUGUGACGCCUGCCCGGUGCCGGAAGGUUAAUUGAUGGGGUUAGCGGUAACGCGAAGCUCUUGAUCGAAGCCCCGGUAAACGGCGGCCGUAACUAUAACGGUCCUAAGGUAGCGAAAUUCCUUGUCGGGUAAGUUCCGACCUGCACGAAUGGCGUAAUGAUGGCCAGGCUGUCUCCACCCGAGACUCAGUGAAAUUGAACUCGCUGUGAAGAUGCAGUGUACCCGCGGCAAGACGGAAAGACCCCGUGAACCUUUACUAUAGCUUGACACUGAACAUUGAGCCUUGAUGUGUAGGAUAGGUGGGAGGCUUUGAAGUGUGGACGCCAGUCUGCAUGGAGCCGACCUUGAAAUACCACCCUUUAAUGUUUGAUGUUCUAACGUUGGCCCGUAAUCCGGGUUGCGGACAGUGUCUGGUGGGUAGUUUGACUGGGGCGGUCUCCUCCUAAAGAGUAACGGAGGAGCACGAAGGUUGGCUAAUCCUGGUCGGACAUCAGGAGGUUAGUGCAAUGGCAUAAGCCAGCUUGACUGCGAGCGUGACGGCGCGAGCAGGUGCGAAAGCAGGUCAUAGUGAUCCGGUGGUUCUGAAUGGAAGGGCCAUCGCUCAACGGAUAAAAGGUACUCCGGGGAUAACAGGCUGAUACCGCCCAAGAGUUCAUAUCGACGGCGGUGUUUGGCACCUCGAUGUCGGCUCAUCACAUCCUGGGGCUGAAGUAGGUCCCAAGGGUAUGGCUGUUCGCCAUUUAAAGUGGUACGCGAGCUGGGUUUAGAACGUCGUGAGACAGUUCGGUCCCUAUCUGCCGUGGGCGCUGGAGAACUGAGGGGGGCUGCUCCUAGUACGAGAGGACCGGAGUGGACGCAUCACUGGUGUUCGGGUUGUCAUGCCAAUGGCACUGCCCGGUAGCUAAAUGCGGAAGAGAUAAGUGCUGAAAGCAUCUAAGCACGAAACUUGCCCCGAGAUGAGUUCUCCCUGACUCCUUGAGAGUCCUGAAGGAACGUUGAAGACGACGACGUUGAUAGGCCGGGUGUGUAAGCGCAGCGAUGCGUUGAGCUAACCGGUACUAAUG